RNAcentral lists this ribosomal RNA (1590 nucleotides) under Peruanocotyle pelagica. RNAcentral's name for it is "SSU rRNA". The record is from RNAcentral. Lineage: Eukaryota; Metazoa; Platyhelminthes; Monogenea; Monocotylidea; Monocotylidae.
AGGCAGCAGGCGCGCAAAUUACCCACUCUCAGAAUGAGGAGGUAGUAAAGACAAAUAUCGAUACAGAACUCCUAAAGAGGCUCUGUAAUCGAAAUGAGUGCAUUAUAAAUCCUACAACGAGGAUCCAUUGGAGGGCAAGUCUGGUGCCAGCAGCCGCGGUAACUCCAGCUCCAAUAGCGUAUAUUAAAGUUGCUGCAGUUAAAAAGCUCGUAGUUCGAUCUGGACUGUGGUGUGAAUGCGCGUGUGGAGUGUGCGUUCGCGGGGUGGGGUAGUGCGCAUGCACGCCUCAUAUACAACUCGUGUUCGUGUGCUUCAGCGUGUAAAUUCACGCCUAGUCUCCAAGCUGUGUCUGUGUGGUGAUGUCGGGUUCGGCUCCGGUCGGGUUCGGCAUGGCCAUAUAGGUGGUGUCGAGUUUAAAUCGUGCUGUCUCCUUUUCAUGGGGGGUCAGUGCGGCUCGGCGUUAUGCUUUGUAAUAGCGCAUUCGCGAAAGUGGGUGUCGCUCAUGCUCUUUACUGGGUGUGCAAAGCGGACAGCACGUUUACUUUGAACAAAUUUGAGUGCUCAAAGCAGGCUACAAAUUGCCUGAAAWGUCUUGCAUGGAAUAAUGAAAUAGGACUUCGGACCUAUUUUGUUGGUUUGAUAGACCCGAAGUAAUGAUAAAGAGAGACAGACGGGGGCAUUUGUAUGGCGGCGCUAGAGGUGAAAUUCUUGGACCGUCGCCAGACAAACUAAAGCGAAAGCAUCUGCCAAGUAUGUUUUCAUUUACCAGGAGCGAAAGUCAGAGGUUCGAAGACGAUCAGAUACCGUCCUAGUUCUGACCAUAAACGAUGCCAACUGAUGAUCCGUGGAGUCUCCACUAUGUGAACCCACGGGCAAUCUCCGGGAAACCUGUAAGUCUAUGGGUUCCGGGGAAAGUAUGGUUGCAAAGCUGAAACUUAAAGGAAUUGACGGAAGGGCACCACCAGGAGUGGAGCUUGCGGCUUAAUUUGACUCAACACGGGAAAACUCACCCGGCCCGGACACUGUGAGGAUUGACAGAUUGAAAGCUCUUUCAUGAUUCGGUGGUUAGUGGUGCAUGGCCGUUCUUAGUUCGUGGUAUAAGUUGUCUGGUUAAUUCCGAUAACGAACGAGACUUCAUUCUGCUAACUAGUACACACGUAACUUUGUGUAGUGGAUGCCUUGCUGUACCCUGUGUACGGCAUUGUCGGCCCUGCAUAAGCGUGUGAGACUUCUUAGAGGGACAGGUGGGCAUGUAAACCACACGAAAAGAAGCAAUAACAGGUCUGUGAUGCCCUUAGAUGUCCGGGGCCGCACGCGUGCUACAAUGACGGUGUUAGAGAGUUUGAUUUCCUCAUUCGAAAGGAUGGGGCAAACUUUUCAAUCACUGCCAUGACUGGGAUCGGGGUUUGUAAUUGUCCCCCGUGAACGAGGAAUUCCUAGUAAGUACAAGUCAUUAGCUUGUGCUGAUUACGUCCCUGCCCUUUGUACACACCGCCCGUCGCUACUACCGAUUGAAUGGUUUAGCAAGGUCAUUGGAUUGAUGCUCACGCGGUGACAAACCGCCGAGCGUUGAGAAGAUGACCAAACUUG